This is a non-coding RNA of Macaca mulatta (Rhesus monkey), 415 nucleotides long. The record is from RefSeq and is a predicted model, not a curated record. NCBI's taxonomy places the organism in Eukaryota, Metazoa, Chordata, Mammalia, Primates, Cercopithecidae.
AAGGAGGAAAAUUAAUCCUACAAGUGAAAAUAAUAUGACAAUUUGUGAACAAAAGGAAGAGGUUGUAAACACAGAGAGGAUGAUAAAUGUACAAGGCAUGGUGAAAGGAGAUUGAGGCUCAAAGAAGUUCAACUCACCCAAAGUCAUAACUAACUAGCAAGUGGCAGAGCCAGGAUUCAAACUCUGUGCUUCCUUUUUAGAGGAGAGAGCAGAUGAAGGAGUUCACUGUUCCAAGAUUGAGGGCAGGCUCUAAGAGCUGAGAGUUGCCCCCAGCUGAUGGCCAGCAAGAAAAUGGGAACCUCAGUCCUAUAACCACAAGGAACUGAACUCUGCCAGCAAAGUGAAUGAGCUUGAAGACAGCUCCAGAUGAAAUCAGAGCUCGCUGACUCCUUGAUUUCAGCCUUGUAAAAUCCUG